This 1389-nucleotide ribosomal RNA is filed under the name Aurantiochytrium sp. Its description in RNAcentral is "SSU rRNA". It matches the Rfam family "Eukaryotic small subunit ribosomal RNA", at positions 20 to 1470 of the family's 1831-position model. The record is from RNAcentral. Lineage: Eukaryota; Bigyra; Thraustochytrida; Thraustochytriidae.
GUAGUCAUAUGCUUGUCUCAAAGAUUAAGCCAUGCAUGUGUAAGUAUAAGCGAUUGUACUGUGAGACUGCGAACGGCUCAUUAUAUCAGUAAUAAUUUCUUCGGUAGUUUCUUUUAUAUGGAUACCUGCAGUAAUUCUGGAGAUAAUACAUGCUGUAAGAGCCCUGUAUGGGGCUGCACUUAUUAGAUUGAAGCCGAUUUUAUUGGUGAAUCAUGAUAAUUGAGCAGAUUGACUUUUUAGUCGAUGAAUCGUUUGAGUUUCUGCCCCAUCAGUUGUCGACGGUAGUGUAUUGGACUACGGUGACUAUAACGGGUGACGGAGAGUUAGGGCUCGACUCCGGAGAGGGAGCCUGAGAGACGGCUACCAUAUCCAAGGAUAGCAGCAGGCGCGUAAAUUACCCACUGUGGACUCCACGAGGUAGUGACGAGAAAUAUCGAUGCGAAGCGUGUAUGCGUUUUGCUAUCGGAAUGAGAGCAAUGUAAAACCCUCAUCGAGGAUCAACUGGAGGGCAAGUCUGGUGCCAGCAGCCGCGGUAAUUCCAGCUCCAGAAGCAUAUGCUAAAGUUGUUGCAGUUAAAAAGCUCGUAGUUGAAUUUCUGGCAUGGGCGACCGGUGCUUUCCCUGAAUGGGGAUUGAUUGUCUGUGUUGCCUUGGCCAUCUUUUUCUUUUCUUUAUAGGGGAGAAAUCUUUCACUGUAAUCAAAGCAGAGUGUUCCAAGCAGGUCGUAUGACCGGUAUGUUUAUUAUGGGAUGAUAAGAUAGGACUUGGGUGCUAUUUUGUUGGUUUGCACGCCUGAGUAAUGGUUAAUAGGAACAGUUGGGGGUAUUCGUAUUUAGGAGCUAGAGGUGAAAUUCUUGGAUUUCCGAAAGACGAACUAGAGCGAAGGCAUUUACCAAGCAUGUUUUCAUUAAUCAAGAACGAAAGUCUGGGGAUCGAAGAUGAUUAGAUACCAUCGUAGUCUAGACCGUAAACGAUGCCGACUUGCGAUUGUUGGGUGCUUUAUUCUAUGGGCCUCAGCAGCAGCACAUGAGAAAUCAAAGUCUUUGGGUUCCGGGGGGAGUAUGGUCGCAAGGCUGAGACUUAAAGGAAUUGACGGAAGGGCACCACCAGGAGUGGAGCCUGCGGCUUAAUUUGACUCAACACGGGAAAACUUACCAGGUCCAGACAUAGGUAGGAUUGACAGAUUGAGAGCUCUUUCAUGAUUCUAUGGGUGGUGGUGCAUGGCCGUUCUUAGUUGGUGGAGUGAUUUGUCUGGUUAAUUCCGUUAACGAACGAGACCUCGGCCUACUAAAUAGUGCGUGGUAUGGCAACAUAGUACGUUUUUAACUUCUUAGAGGGACAUGUCCGGUUUACGGGCAGGAAGUUCGAGGCAAUAACAGGUCUGUGAUGC